GGAGAGGUGGCAGAGUGGUCGAAUGCACCGCACUCGAAAUGCGGCAUGGGUGUAAGCUCAUCGGGGGUUCGAAUCCCUCCCUCUCCGCCA
This 90-nucleotide transfer RNA is filed under the name Mesorhizobium australicum. Its description in RNAcentral is "tRNA_Ser_CGA". It matches the Rfam family "tRNA". Rfam says of the family: Transfer RNA (tRNA) molecules are approximately 80 nucleotides in length. Their secondary structure includes four short double-helical elements and three loops (D, anti-codon, and T loops). The record is from RNAcentral. Lineage: Bacteria; Pseudomonadati; Pseudomonadota; Alphaproteobacteria; Hyphomicrobiales; Phyllobacteriaceae.